RNAcentral lists this microRNA (24 nucleotides) under Caenorhabditis elegans. RNAcentral describes it as "cel-miR-1821-5p". The record is from miRBase by way of RNAcentral. Lineage: Eukaryota; Metazoa; Nematoda; Chromadorea; Rhabditida; Rhabditidae.
UGCCCAACUUGCAGACUUUUCAAU